UUAAUCAGUCUGCCUAAUGCCAAUCCCUAAACUAUAUAUUAGGGUAACUGGAAGCGGAGGAACCAUAUUUGGGGCUAAUCUUUAUAGAUUUCGGAAUUUGAAAUCCAAAAUCCAGACAAGAAGAACAUCUCUCAGUUCUAGCCCGUCAGCUAACUUCGUCGGCAUUGAGAGGAGACUGA
Molecule: small RNA, 179 nt
Filed under: 'Nostoc azollae' 0708
Lineage: Bacteria; Bacillati; Cyanobacteriota; Cyanophyceae; Nostocales; Nostocaceae
Description: Nostoc azollae c-di-AMP sequence
Rfam family: c-di-AMP riboswitch aptamer (ydaO/yuaA leader)
About the family: This family represents a conserved RNA structure found upstream of the ydaO and yuaA genes in Bacillus subtilis and related genes in other bacteria.
Source: Rfam by way of RNAcentral